GGGGGCAACCCGGAUCCAACCAAGCCCCCGUGAAUAAAAGAAAGGCCCUCCGGGGUUGGAAAAGCCACCUUUUCCAAGACCGGAAAAGAAAACACUUUCCCCUUAACUACCGGGGAAGGUGGGAUUGACGGGUACUGUCAGAAGGAAGCACCGGCUAACUACGUGCCAGCAGCCGCGGAAAUACGUAGGGAGCGAAGCAUCAAUCGGAAUCACCGGGCGUAAAGCGUGCGCAGGCGGUUGUCUAAAACAGGAGUGAAACCCCCGGGCUUAACCUGGGAACGGCGCUUGUCACUGCACGGCAGAGUACGGCAGACGGGGGUGGAAUCCCACGUGUAGCAGUGAAAUGCGUAGAUAUCUCGAGGAACACCGAUGGCGAAGGCAGCCCCCUGGGCCAGUACUGACGCUCAUGCACGAAACCCGGGGAGCAAACAGGAUUAGACACCCUGGCAGUCCACGCCCUAAACCAUGUCGACUAGUUGUCCGUGGAGGUAACUCUGUCAGUAACGCAGCUAACGCGUGAAGUCGACCGCCUGGCGAGUACGGCCGCAAGGAUAAAACUCAAAGGAAUUGACGGGGACCCGCACAAGCCGUGGA
RNAcentral lists this ribosomal RNA (594 nucleotides) under enrichment culture LET-13. RNAcentral describes it as "bacterial SSU rRNA". It matches the Rfam family "Bacterial small subunit ribosomal RNA", at positions 373 to 936 of the family's 1533-position model. Lineage: Bacteria; Pseudomonadati; Bacteroidota. The record is from RNAcentral.